GUGCUCACUUUGGCAGCACAUAUACUAAAAUUGGAAUGAUACAGAGAUUAGCAUGGCCCCUGCACAAGGAUGACACACAAAUUCGUGAAACGUUCUAUUAAAAA
RNAcentral lists this small nuclear RNA (104 nucleotides) under Aotus nancymaae (Ma's night monkey). Lineage: Eukaryota; Metazoa; Chordata; Mammalia; Primates; Aotidae. The record is from RNAcentral.